This is a long non-coding RNA of Pygocentrus nattereri (red-bellied piranha), 499 nucleotides long. RefSeq lists it as uncharacterized. NCBI's taxonomy places the organism in Eukaryota, Metazoa, Chordata, Actinopteri, Characiformes, Serrasalmidae. The record is from RefSeq and is a predicted model, not a curated record. The transcript is spliced from 4 exons.
AAGAAGUAAAAACAUUCAAAUGGCUUGCGUAUCACCUCCCACGGCGGUCAAAGUCAAUAAAACCCUGAUGUUGUGACGAAAUAACACAGAAUGCUUCAGCCUGCGUGGCCGGAACUGCCUGUCGUAUAAAGUGGCAAAAAAGCUGCACACCUCAACAAAAUCUUGAAUGGAAAAAGUUCUACGCCAUUUAACUUUCCACAGGCAAACUACAAGGAUAACGAUACCGUGAUUCAGGCAGUUUCAGAAUGUUUUUGUGGAGGGGAAUAUCCAGGUACCAAGUGGAUUUCUUGCUGAAAUACUCAAAGUUAGUGGUUUAGCUUCCACGACUCCUCAGCCCACUGUCCCAAACACCACUUUCCCUGGAAACAGCACCGGAGGAUUUCCAGGUUGGGCCCUGGCCAUCAUUAUCCCCUGCAGUAUAGCCAUCAUCCUCAUACCCACCUGGAUUACACUCUGUUGUAUGCUGUGUGGUUGCUGUGCCGCCAUAAGGAGACGCUAC